MicroRNA precursor from Oryza rufipogon (brownbeard rice), 191 nucleotides. It matches the Rfam family "MIR820 microRNA precursor family". The record is from Rfam. NCBI's taxonomy places the organism in Eukaryota, Viridiplantae, Streptophyta, Magnoliopsida, Poales, Poaceae.
UGCGUCGGCCUCGUGGAUGGACCAUGAGCUCGACAUUCCUUAAGGUCGUUCUUUCCGACCCAUACAAGGUUCCGCUGCCUGCAUUGUUCCAAGAGUGUCUUGGACAAAAGCAGGAAGUGGAACCUUGUUAAGGUCGGAACGAACUGCCUUAAGGAAGUCGAUGCUCCAGGUCCGUCCACGAGGACGACGCA